UACGGAGGGUGCAAACGUUGCUCGGAAUCAUUGGGCGUAAAGCGCACGUAGGCGGCCUGUUAAGUCGGGUGUGAAAGCCCUGGGCUCAACCCAGGAAGUGCACUCGAAACUGGCGGGCUUGAAUAUGGAAGAGGGUCGCGGAAUUCCCGGUGUAGAGGUGAAAUUCGUAGAUAUCGGGAGGAACACCAGUGGCGAAGGCGGCCAUCUGGACCAGCACUGACACUGAGGCACGAAAGCGUGGGGAGCAAACAGG
RNAcentral lists this ribosomal RNA (253 nucleotides) under uncultured bacterium. RNAcentral's name for it is "partial 16S ribosomal RNA". It matches the Rfam family "Bacterial small subunit ribosomal RNA", at positions 524 to 776 of the family's 1533-position model. The record is from RNAcentral.